AUAGGAGAUUUCAUUUGUUUCUUCAAUUUUUUUCUUUUAACCUUGUGGCAAGAGAUAAGAGAACACUUGCCUAGUGGCUACUUGUUUGUUUGACUUCAUGUCCCUGGACUGUGACAAAGGGCAGAGUGUGUGGUAAUGAAAACUUAUUCAUAAUCUUAAAUAUGAUGUAAGUGGCUGAAUUGGAAAGGGAGAUGCCCAUUACCAAAGGCCCUGGUGGGGAGAAGGCCUUAUUAGUGCUGGAAGGUCGUCACGGUGGAGAGUUCAGACAUAGCUGUGCUAUUCGCAGACAGAGUAAACUCAUCAUUCUUGGAAUUUCAUUCUUGGGAAAUGAUUGAAAGAGGGUGUAAAAAUAUUUACAACUUAUAUGAACUUACCACUAUCCAAAUAUUCUGAACACCUGGGAUUAUGUUUUAUUAAAAACACACAAAGUCGGCACUCAGUAAAUAUUUGCAGAGUGUUGAAUGAAUGAGUGAACCACUGGUGACUGUUUCUACCUGAGAAAUAAAUGAAGAAUGUAUUCAUUUGGGCUUGUAUGUUUCCUCUGCAUUCAAUGAUGACCUACAGAUCCAAUUGACUGUAGGGCUGAGCGCCUAGGCCUGUGACUAGAAAGAGCUAGAUUUGGUUUGUUUACGAGAUAAAAUUGAGGGAAAACAUUUCUUUUUUUUUUUUUUUUUUUUUUUUUGAGUCGAAGUCUUGCACUGUCGCCCAGGCUGGAGUGCAGUGGUGAUAUUGGCUCACUGCAACCUCUGCCUCCUGGGUUUGAGUGAUUCUCCUGCCUCAGCCUCCUUAGUAGCUGGGACUACAGGCACCCGCCACCACACCUGACUAAUUUUUUGUAUUUUUAGUAGAGACAGGUUUCACUAUGUUGGCUAGGCUGGUCUUGAACUCCUGACCUCAGGAUCUGCUUGCCUCAACCUCCCAAAAUGCUGGGAUUACAGGCGUGAGCCACCGUGCCCGGCUGAGGGAAAAUAUUUCUCUGGACUUAAUCGGGCCCUCAAGAAUGUUUAAAAUAGUAGCAGAGAAAUUUCUCCUAUCAAUCCAAUGUCUCAGUGACCAAUUCUACACCUCCAGGCUUCUUAUAUGGAAUGGGAUGGGGGGGGGUGUUGCCGAUGUUAGAGGGGGUUGUGGACCCCAAGGACAAUCAUUGAGUCAGAACCAACAAAUGUUUGAGCAACUCUCAGGUUCUAGGCCUUUUUAAAGAUGUUAUUUCAUGAAAUUCAACAACUGUGUGAAAUAGAUAUUGCACCCAUUUUACAGAUUCAUAAAACUUCAAGGAAGAUUAAGUGACCUGAUAAAGUGGAAGAUCAAUGUAUUCCAGAGCGCCUGUUUUUCAACUCCAAAUACUCUACUGUUUUGACUCCACUGUGGCUAAUUAUUAAACCAGAAAUUUCUGUUAGGCAAAAGGACAGGGAGUGUGUGAGAAGUGAGGUCAUAACUUUGACACAUCUUCAAAACGUUUUAGGAUAGCAAACUGACAGAGAGCAGGGUUGGCUUAACUUUUGGUUUUGCAAAGGGACAUGAAAGCAGGCACUCUAGACGCUGGUGCCUUGAAUCCCGGCUCCACCAUGCACUCACGAUGAGACUUUGAACAAGGCCCUUCACCCUCCUUUGCUGCAUCUCCUUAUCUUUAGGAUGGGAAUGAAAACACCUACUUACCAGGUGGAGAGGAUGAGGAUCAACAGGAUAGUCUAUGUGAUGUGCUCAGUUCAUGGCUCACAGGAAGUGCUCUGAACCCAUGAGAUUAACGAGCUUUGGAAGUGAACUCUGGAAAUGGAUGUGAAGUGUGAAAAGGCUGGAGAAGGAGGGAUGCCACAUGGCUUCUGUAUUGGACAGCACAACUCUAGAAUCAAGACCAUCGUGGAUCAACUGUGGAUACCACCUUGCAUUUUAAUUCUCUGAAUGGAAAGGGUCUUCAGGGCUGAAGCAGUUUUCCCACAACCUCCUCCACUGUUAUAGUCAAUGUUCAUGAUACAGACGAUUGCUUCAAUAUCCAGCUCAGUGUCUUCCACCUAGUAAGUGCACACUAAAUACUAUUGAUUGGAUUUCCAGUGACUGUAUUAAUAGUGAACUCAAAUGAUUUACUAAUAUUCUUCACCAAAUCUGGUCAUUUCCGAAAAGUAGAAACAAUGAAAAAAUAAACAAACCAAGAAUGGUGAUUGGAAAGCCCACUUUGAUAAAUGUCUGACUUGCUAAGACAAUCCAUAUUUAUGUGCUAACAGGAAAGAGCUACCAGAAGUCUUAAACUCGUGUUGAUGUUACUCUUCUCUGAACUCUCUCUGUGCUUAUGAUUUUUAUAUGAUGUGCUUAUGAGUUUUUUUUUUUUGAGAUGGAGUUUCACUCUUGUUACCCAGGCUGGAGUGCAAUGGCACGACCUCGGCUCACCGCAACCUCCGCCUCCUGGGUUCAGGCAAUUCUCCUGCCUCAGCCUCCUGAGUAGCUGGGAUUACAGGCAUGCGCCGCCAUGCCCAGCUAAUUUUUUGUAUUUUUAGUAGAGACGUGGUUUCACCAUGUUGAUCAGGAUGGUCUCGAUCUCUUGACCUCGUGAUCCACCCGCCUCGGCCUCCCAAAGUGCUGGGAUUAGAUGUGCUUAUGAGUUUUAUAUGGUGUGCCAUGUAGUGAAUUUUGUCUUCACAAAUUACUUCUGUUCUUAACAUAAAAAUCAAGGUAAGAAUGUUGGUUUGACCAGUUGUAGGUUCAGUAACACUGGAUCCAGCUUUCCAGGAGAUGCCCAGAAUCUCCAUAUGACCAACUAUGGACCUGUAAGAUUCACAUAGUCACUACCUAUUCCGAUCAUCACUUUCCGUGAAGACCCAAAUCUCGCAUUAUGUUUUAAUAGAAUCAACCAUCACCUUGCAGUCUGUCUUACUGUUGACUUUUAUUUUCAUUUGCACAUUUUCCCUUUUAUGAAAGGGCUACUCCUUUUCCUCGGUUCGCUUGUGAUCUUUAGUUUUUUAUUACUUGCUUUUCUUGCUGUUGAACAAGGUUUAAAUUGGAUUACUGAUCUAAAAUAUUCAUUUUGAAAAUUACUUCACAAAAAAUUAAAAGAUUAAUAGUUGAUGCUUUCAACUGUGGUCUUUAGUGAGAGCCAAAUGGUAUUAAAGUGUGUUCUUCAUUGUCUGUUUGUUCUAAAUAAUAUCUAUUAGUAUGAUUAGUACCAAUAUUUAAACUAACUAAAGAAGCAAUUUUGCUCUGUUGCCCAGACUGAAGCACAGUGGAGCAAUCAUAGUUCAUUGCACCCUUUACCUCCUGAGCUCACGUGAUUAUCCCACCUCAGUCUCCCAAGUAGCUGGGCCUACAAGUGCAUGCUACCAUGUGUGGCUAGUUUUUAAUUUGUUUUUGUAGUGGUAGAGUCUCACUAUGAUGCCAGGGAGUUCGCUGGGCUCGAGUGAUCCUCUUGCCUCAGCAUCCCAGAGUGCUGGGAUUACAGCCAUGAGCCACUACCAGGGGCUAUGAUCUGUCCUUUUCUGUUGCUCACAUACCACCGUAGUGCUAACCACUUGCUGAGUUCUAGUUCUAAUCAUUCAUAGGGUAGGGACUUCGGGUACUAUGUUCUAUUGCUAAACUCUGGCUUUUGCACUGUGAAAGUGGAAGACUAUUUGGAGGUGGAACAAGUGAGUUGCAAUCUUUACAUAUCUAAACCAGGACCAGAAAUCCUGGAUUGCUGCAUUUGCCAUUUGUUCUUAAAAAUAAUAAAUCCUAGAACAUAUUUUAUUAACCUAAGUUAUUACAUAUCAAAAAUUAAAUCUUCCCGAGACAAAUAAAAUAAAUGAAAAGUUAAUUUUGAAUGUAGCUUAUUUCAAAAAUUACACUUAAAUCUGUAGCUGAGAAUAAUUUCCUUUAGUGAAGAAGACAUAAUUUAAAUGUAAAAUUUUAGAAUGAAAAACUUCUUAUAGAUUUAAUUCCUUCUCAUUUUAGAACAGAGUUAAAAUUGCUUCUUUGGUUAAUUUAAAUAUUGGUACUAAUCAUCCUAAUAGAUAUUAUUUAGAACAAAAAGACAAUGAAGAACAAGCUUUAAUACCAUUUCACUGUCUCUAAAGACCACAGUUGAAAGCACCAACUAUUAAUCUUUCAAUUUUUUGUAAUUUUCUAAAUGAAUAUUUUAGAUCAGUGAUCCAAUUUAAACCUUGUUAAAUAGCAAGAAAAGCAUGUAAUCAGAAAUAAUUCCUCUGCCACAUUUCAGCAUUAAAGUCGAGGCCUUUUGCAAAGCUUUGAAAAGUAUUUGAAAAUUAGCUCAUUAUAUUUUUUUAAAAAUUCUUUCUUUUUUUUUCUUGGCAUAUACAUGUUAUAUGUCACUUUCUCCCUGAGAGCUUUUGUAAUAGAAAGUCCUCAAUGUGUUUGAAAUAAAAAAUUCUAGGUAAUAAAAUUUUAUUUUCUUUUUAAGGAUAUGCUGAAAGUCAGAAAGGGUAUUAAAGCUUCAAACCACGCAAAGAAACCUCCAAAUAUUUCCAUUAAGAAGAUUAAUAAUUUUCACUGCAUUCAUCUGGGAAAAAAAAAGCCAAUGUUAAAUUAAUCAGCCUGGCAGUUGUUUUGAAAGGGUAAUGUCUUCUGAACAGCCUAUUAGAAGAGAGAUGCGAUGCAGACUUGGAGGUUCAGCAUCUGGAAGCCCUCCAGAGCGUCACACUGAGGAGCCAUGGAGUAGGUUUUUGUGGCGUAGAGCCCUGGAAUUUUUGUAAAUUUUAACUUGAGUGCCCAAAGAGCUGUGGCUAUCUAUGAUUUCAGAGACAGCUCACAGGGUGCUCUAUGAUCUAGAAAGCUUGAACCCUAGUUCUCAUGGAGAUCAUCAGCUCCACGAAAUUAGCUGGAGAAUUCUUAUGGUUGCAGAGAAGGAGGGCAAUUGUCAGGGUUUGCUAAUCUGUAUUCUAUAAUAAUCUGUCUAUUGGUCAGGAUUCUCCAGAGAAACAGAAUUCAGAGGAGAUGCACACACAGACACACACACACACAGUUACACACACACACACACACACACACACACACACUGUACUAUAAGGAAUUAUCUCAAGAAAUAUAGAAGCCAAGAAGUCUUAGAAUCUACAGUCUGGGCAAGCUGGCUAUUCAGAAGUACAAAUGGUUUAGUUCCAGUUCAAGUCCAAAGGCCUGAGAACAAGAAGAGCCAAUGACAUAGGUUCCAACCUGAAAGCCAGAGGCUCCAGACCCAAGAAGAGCCCAAGUUUUAGUCUAUGCUUAAAAGCAGAGAAAGAUUGAUAUCUCACCUCAGGCAUUUUUUGUUCUCUUCAGGUCUUCAACUAACUGACACCCACCCACAGUGGGGAAGGCCAUCAGCUUUACUUAGCCUACUGAUUCAAAUGUUAAUCUUAUCCAGAAUGAUGUUUUCCCAAAUGGCUGGGCACCAUAGGUCCAGUCAAAUUGACACAGAAAAUUAAUAAUCGCAAUCUGAUAGCUUUUCUCACAUUGCCUAAAAGAUGCUGAAACUACCUGUGAUACAUAUAAUUUUAAAGGCAAGAUUUAAAAGAAUUAAAAGCAGGGCUUUAUGUGGAACUAUUAAUAUUUCAGACUUGGAAGAAUUUUUUUUUUUUUUGAGUCAUAGUCUUACUCUGUUGCCCAGGCUAGAGGGCAGUGGCACAAUCUCAGCUCACUACAACCUCUGCCUCCCGGGCUCAAGCAAUUCUCUGCCUCAGCCUCCUGAGUAGCUGGGAUUACAGGUACCUGCCACCAUGCCCGGCUAAUUUUUGUAUUUUUACUAGAGACGAGUUUCACUAUCUUGGCCAGGCUGGUCUUCAACUCCUGACCUCGUGAUCCACCUGCCUCGGCCUCCCAAAGUGCUGGGAUUACAGGUGUGAGCCAACACCGCUUCUGGCCAGAAGAAAUCUUUGAAAUUUCGAGUACAACUCUUUCAUUUUAUCUUCAUAAAGAUGACUCUCUUGGGGUCUCUGAGGUAAUGAGAGGCCAUGCCGGUUCCUGGCCUCCUGUUCUUAGACACGAGCUUCUUCUACAGUCCAUGUAACCCCUCUCAGAGUCAAGGAAGGCAUCACCCGAGGGGAGGCUUGUUUUCUCCUUCAUCUGCUUCUGCUCUUUAUUCUGCUCCUCUCCUCACCUACCCCAGACUCCUCCUCCAAUUGUUCCUCUUCCUUUUCUCAGUCAUUGUCUUACUCUUCCUGUUUCCCCUCUUCCUCUUCUCUUUCUCCAACUUUACCUCUUCUUCUUUCUUUUCUUUCUCUUUCUCCUCUUCCUACUCUGUCUCCUUUCUUUUGGUGUGGAUAAACUUAGUAAAGAGGUUUCCGAAGGUUGUUCUGUCUUCAGCUUGAAGGUGAAGACAUCAUCUCCCUGUGAUGGCUCCUCUUUUGAGCCAUGCUCCCGGAGACAUAAUCAAAAUAAGAGUGUACUUGAGGACUUGGAAACUGCAUGUGUCAUGCCCCUUUGGACGACACUUUACCUCUUAUAGGAGAGAUUGUUCAGGGCAUUUGCUCAGUAAGAUUCACAUUUAAUUAGUACAUCCUGUAUGUUGGGUAGUAUGUUAGGCACUUCAGCUCAGGUAAGAGGCAGAGAGAGGUCUGGAAAGGUCUAUUAUAAAAAGGUAGUAAACUUUUAAUCAUCUCUUCAGCAAAAGAUGUAAAAAUUACGGACUAGAAAUAAUAACAGUGCCUAGAUAAAUUUUUCAAGUUUCGUAUUAUCUCAAUGUUUGGUAUUAAUUAAUUUCAUUUUUUAUUAUUGCACUUAUUGUGUUGUUAUUGCAUCUUUGACUACAUUCAUGAAUUCACUUGUUUAUUCAUUCAACUACUUACCCAACUAUCUAACAUUUACUUAGUUUCUACUCUGUUCUGGGCAUGUAUUAGUAAAUAAGACAGAGUUUUCUCUCAGAAGGAGAUAACAUAGCAUAAAGACUAAGAAUUUUGACUCUGGAAUUGGAUGGAUGGUGUUUGAGGCACAGUUUUUGUCGCUCGCUUAGACUAUCUUUCUAGGCCUAGUUUGCUCGUGUGUAAAGUGGGGAUUAAUAUGACUCUGGCGAAGAUGAAAGGCGUUUUAGGAGUGCUUGGCACAUAGUAAGCACUCAUGGAUGUUCGUCAUUGUUAUUACUGACAGCUGGCUCAGAGAUUUAUGGACGUAAACCAAUAGAGAACAGUGUAGCAAACGUCAGUGCAAGGAAGCACUUUGCCCCAGCUAGAGAGGUCACCAAAGUCUUUCUGGAAGACAUGGCACUUGAGUCAAGAUCAGAGGCAGAAUAGCAGCUACCUGACAAAGAGACUAGAAAAGGAUAUUCCAGGCAAAGGGAACAGCAUGUACAAAUGCAGUAGGCUAUAAGAACUUGAAGCAGGUGUAUUAGUCUGUUCUCAUACUGCUAUAAAGAAAUAUGUGAAACUGGGUAAUUUGUAAAGAAAAAAGGUAUAAUUGGCUCAUGGUUCCACAGGCUGUACAGGAGUCAUGGUGCUGGCAUCUGCUCAGCUUCUGGGGUGGCCUCAGGAAAACUUACAAUUACGGUGGAGGGCAAAAAGGGGUCAGCGUCUUAAAUGGUCAGAGCAGGAGGAAGCGGGGGGGUGGGCAGGGAGGUGCCACACACUUUUAAACAGCCAGAUCUCAUGAAAACUCUAUCAUUAGAACAGCACCAAAGGGGAAAUCCACAGCCACGAUCCACUCACCGCCCGUAAGACUCCACCUUCAACACUGGGAUUACAAUUUGACAUGAGAUUUGGGUGGGGACACAGAAGCAAACCAUAUCACAGUGCUUGAAAAAGAGCACUAAAGCAGAAAGGUUUUAUUUAUUAAAUGGCAGAAGCAGACUCGGUAGGGGUCAGUUUGAGGUAGGACAGUUCAAUCACACGUUUUAUAGAUGAAAAUACUGAGGCCCGGCUGCCUUGAUUGAACUGAAUAGACUAAGGUCAAAAAGCUGGUGAAUGAGAGCACUCAUUUACACAAUAGCCUCCAUCACCAGUGCAGAGCUGGUGUGGGGGAAGAGCCUGCUGUAAGUGUACAUGCAGGAGGCAAGAGUUUGUGUAGAGAAGUUCGCAUCAGCAGCUAUGUCUCUCUAUGACUUAUACUCUCUUUCUUAACUCGCUAUGUAUUAAGGCUAUUAAAGCAAGCAUUUUGGGGUGUAUUAUUGCUAGAAGCCUAUCUUAAUCCAUUUUGUGUUGCUAUAACGGAAUACCUGAGGCUGAGUAAUUUAUAAAGGAAAGAGGUGUAUUCAUCUCACAGUUCUGCAGGCUGGAAAGUUCAAGAAGCAUGGCACCAGUGUCUGCUCAGCUUUUGUGGAGGGCUUUUGUGCUGCAUCAGAACAUGGUGAAGAAGAGCAAAGGGGAAACAGACACCUCUGAAGAGGGCCUGAACCCGAGGUGUGUUCGGAUUUGUAACAACCUAUUCUUGAGGGAACUAAUGCAUUCCUUUGAGAACUAGUCCUGUCUUGCCAGAGUAACUCACUCACUACCACGAGAACAACACUAACCAUUCAUGAAGGAUCUGCCUCUGGGAUCCAAAUACCUGCCACUAGGACCCACCCCCACAAUACCCUUAUAUUGGGAAUUAAAUUUCAACAUGAGCUUUGGUGGGGACAAACAAACCAUAGCAAAUAUGUUAAUGUUUCUCCUUCUCAGACCUCACCCACACUGUAUACUCCCACUCCUCACUGCAGAUCUAAGAACUGUCAAGUUGGUGCAAAAGUAAUAGCGGUUCUGCCAUUAAAAGUAAUGGCAAAAGCUGCAGUGACUUUUGUACCAACCUAGUGUUUGCAAAUUCCUAGCCGUAUGAUCUGGUCAAGAUGAAGAAAGGGAUCUGAAGAAUUACUGAUUUGAAAUCAAGAAGAAAUAAAGUCCAAGUCUAGGUAUACUGUUUUGCAUGUCCCAAGUUCUCAUCAUUAGUAUUUAUUUAGUCAAUUAGUCAGUCAUUCAACAAAUGGAGCUUUCAUCGACUCUGUGUCCUAGACCCUAGAGAUACCAUGAUGACCAAGACGAACUGCCUCAACCCAUAGUGAUGGCAGGAAUGUGACAAGUAAAUAAGUGACUGCAGAACAGUGUGACAAACGUAAUAAUGGGGGCAGUCCACGCUGUUACGAGGUCUCCUAAGACAGACAUUUAUUCUGAUCCAGAGCAUCAAGAAGGGCUUUCUGGAAGCAGUAGUUUUACUAUUGAGCUUUGAAAUAAAUAGAAGUCAGAAGUUAGUGAGCUGGAAAGAGCUGGUAGUUAGGCAAAGGAGGCCUGGGCCUGGAGGGAAGAGGCUGUAAUUGAGGAAUGAGAAGAGAGGCAGUGUGGCUGGAAUGUAGGGGAUUCAUUCAUCUCCAGAAAGGAGGCUGGAGAGAUAAAUAGAAGUCGGAUAUGAAGGGCCCUGUGAACCUGAGGAAGAAAUGGAAAGUUCAUUCUAGAAACACUGUGGGGUCAUACAGCAUUUAUGCAGGGGAGAAAAAGACCAGACAUUGGAUUUUAGAAAGGUCCUUCCUGUUGCAGUGCUGUCACAGAAGAGAUUGCCCUGACCAAGAGCGUGUGCAGGAAUAUCAGCUUGGGGACUUUUAUAAGAGUGGCCCGAAAAUGAAGGGAAGAGGAAGGAUGGGAGUGACGAUUAGCUUAAUAACUGGGUGUGUGGGUGGAUGAGAGAGAAAUUAUAGAUAAAUUGCACUCACCAGAUGCUACUGAGUCUGUCUGUCUCUGGUAGUCCUGUUCACAGAAGCAGGGGACACUGCGGGGGCGGGGGCAGGUCUAAGGAUAGAAAUAGAAUCAGAAGACAAAGGAGUGAGUUUAGCUUUAGACCACUUGAGUUUGAAAUGCUUGUGGGUCACCCAGGUGUGUCUGUCCAGCAUAAAGCUGGCCAGUGAAAAUAUCAGUGUGUGUAUAUUAACUUAAUAACUAGUUAUUUUAUGAAGACACUCCCUAGAUAAGAAAAUCAGAUUCCACUUAGGAGCUGGCUGGUUUCUCAGCACUCAAAGCAGUCCCAACAGGCUCUCAUUGAGCUCAGAAUGCGUAGCCAGGCACUGGGGGAACGGGGGAAGGAGGAGCAGAGAAAAAUCUAGAUGGGGCUGCUUAUGUAAGGGCGCAAUUCAGAGAGAAAGCCAGAGACACUUCAGAAUCUCUUCUUCAUGGCCAUGGGAAUAAUAGUCAAAUUGUUCCUAAAACACCCAGUUGCAGGAGUAGUAAAUGAACUAAUUUUGCGAUAAGCUCAAAGGACACAGAAGCUAAGAACACUGGAUUUUGAGCAGAUAAUUCUGGUUUAAAAUCCUAUUUCUGUCCCUUUCUAUCUGACCUUAGGGAAAUUACUCACUGUCUCUAAGCCUCAGUUUUUUUUAUCUUUAAAUGAAAUGACACUACCUAGUUAGGUGUAAAAAUACCUAGCUCAUUGGAUUGCUGACGGAUUAAGUGACGUAUUGUAUGUGAAGUUCUGGCAAGUUUCAGUGUUUGUCAAUAGUGAGCCCUCGAUCUGUGGUAGUUACCGUUGCUGUUAUGAGGCAUCCAAGGAAGGCAGAUAUCCUCUUCAUGUUAACUCUAGCAGCUGGGAGAAAAGGAGCAGGCAGCCACACCUAUUCACAUACAUGCGUAUAGAACAUGUGACUAUACACAAAUUUAUAGUAACAGAAGACCCUAUUGUUUUCUUGCUUUAAAACCAUAACCAUGUAAUUUUAUGAAAAUAUGAAAGAAGAGUGCAUCCCGUUGCUAAGUGAUCUGCUCAUGUAAUUACUGGGGAAACAGAUGGCCAAUCAAUAGUAGACAGCUAAUUACUUUACAAAUGGAUUUAGUUAAAGAUUGGAAAUGAUGAUGAAAGUGUGUUGUCCUUAUGUAGCGAUAUUAAGAUGGUUCGUGGUCAAUUAUAAUAAAAUAAAUCACAUUGAAAAGAGCAUCUUAUUUCUACUUUUAAGGUAAUAGGAAGCCAUGGCUUGCUGGAUUGUUGAGCCAAGCUUUGGAAGAAAAAUGGAACCACUCAUUGUGCUAGACAAAUGCUUUCUUCUAGGCUACUUUUUCUUCCAAGGAAGAUGAGCAAUUGAAAAGUAAUUAUCUAUCCAUUCAUUCUGCCAACCAACAUUUAAUGAACAUCCAGCAUUAUCCUUUCAUGCAAACUUCUUUCUUCCACACUCUACCUUCUUCUUCCACACUCUACCUUCUUCUUCCACUUUGCUCCUAAAAUGUCCAAAUGACCAGAAAAAUGUAGAAGUGGGCACCUUGUGCACACACAUGGCUAAUGACAAGGUAUAUUGAAACAACCUUUUAAGAAAACAGCGUGCCUCUGUCAAUCAAGCACAAAAACACUAUGCUAUUUGGUCCAAAAAUCUUACCUCCUUGGAAACUUAUGUGGAGAAACAAAUUCAGCAGAAGAAAAAAGCAGCUUGUAUGGAGAUAUUUACUGUAGAAUCAUUCAUAAUAACAAAUUGGAAACAAAUUAUAUGUCCAAUGCUAAAUAAUAGUUAAGAAUGACAAUCCCAUUUAUUAAUUCUACAUAAUAUUAUGCAGCUAUUUAUAAUGUUUGCAAAGUCUUCCUAGAAAUCUGAACAAAAUUAAUGAUCUCAUAAAUAGGUAGUUUUCAAGAAUUCACCGGUUCUGUGUUUAUAGCUAUGUGAAGAAUAAAUAUAAAAUAUGAAAACGACUGAGAGAGAGCAAAUAAAACUGAAGACAAUUGUGUUAGAGUGCAAUGUCUUUUUUUCAAUAUUUAACAACUUAUUUUGAUAUUCUUUUAUGAUAUAUUAAAUAUGAAUACCACAAAGAAUUCUUCUGUAUGUGGUCAAAAUCCAAGAUGGCACCUUGCCAACAGCAUGGAAAAAGUCUUUCCUACCUUUAGGAUUCAAGUAAUCACAGAGAAAUGAGUAGUUCUGUUUCUCCCUGUUUUGUCUCCCUUGUUUUCUGUUGUGAGAGGCAUUUACAAGUAUCUUGAAUUUCUCUUGCUUAUGAAUUCAACUGCUGCGGCUUUUGCACAAACAGCCUUAAUCCUUUGUUUGGCUUGUCACAGCUGCUACUGCAGGAAUUCUGAUGCCACCAGCAGAGGAUUCAGGAGCUAAAAUGAAGAGGUUUGGAAAUGCCAGUACCCUUCCACCCUUCUCUGGAUAUAACCAACUGCAUAUAUGUGCAUAUCUCUUUCUAGAUAUUUGUCCUAUUAAACUCCAGCCUUGUUCAGUGUGUGGACCAUAAGGUUUAUCUAGUCUGAAAACAUGCUCUGCAUGCUCUAAUUAUUAGUACAGAAGAAAAUAAAUACACUCACUGAUCAGAAUAUCCACUAGCAAUGAAGAAGGAAAAUGCUGCCAUCCCUGGGGGUAGAUUUCCAUAAUGUUCCUCACGCCCGUGCCAGAAUUCUGUUUUCUUUUUCUUUCAACAUCUUAGACCCUGAUUUCCAAGGUCAGAAUAGUUUCCCAGUCAGAUCUGGGUAGGAAAGAUGGAAGUCUGUGCCGGCUACCUUUAUAAAUCUUAUGUGAUUGUUAUUUUAGUGUGAUUAAAUAAAGAAAACAGUGAUUAAAAUUAUUCAUAGUGAUUCAUAUUAACAUUAUGAGGGAAUAACUAUAUUUCUGUUUUUAUUUUUUUGAGACAGUCUCACUAUGUCACCCAGGCUGGAGUGCAGUGGUGUGAUCUAGGCUCAUUGCAACCUCCACCUCUGGGAUUCAUGUGAUUCUCAUGCCUCAACCUCCAGAGUAGCUGGGAUUACAGGCGCACACCACCACUCCCGGCUAAUUUCGUAUUUUAAGUAGAGACGGGGGUUUCACCAUUUUGGCCAGGCUAGUCUCGAACUCCUGACCUCAGAUAAUCCACCAGCCUCGGCCUCCCUAAGUGCUGGGAUUAUAAGUGUGAGCCACCACACCCAGCUGGGAAUAACUAUAUUUCUAAGUGACAGAGCUUCAUUAUGGUUAGAUGUCAUGAGGAACAUGCUCGCUUGUUGAAGAUGCUUGGGUUGCAGGUGCCCCCCAUUUGCAUGCUGUAUAGCCCACAUCUGACCUUUGGAGCCCCUUCCUACCAUCCGCCACAAACUGAACGGUGCAAUUUCCAAAACUGUUUUCCUUAAGACUCAGGAUUUGAAGAAUAUCAUUUGAAAAUCCCUUUAGAGAUAGAAAGAAAGAUGAAAAGAAAGCAAUGGUCCUCUUGCUUGUAUUCUGUUCAGUCCUCACUCCAGACAAAAAUCACUGUCGGCCUUCGGUGACAGAAACAGAUGUCUCAAAGAGGACUGGAUCACACAAAGUCAGGCUUCACCUGGGUAGAAAGCAUUCUGCAUUGACAACCAUCUGGGUUUCAACUAGAUGAAAUGUGAUAAUACCAAAUAUUGUCUCAUAAUCCUGGAUGUUUGGCUAAUAGUACCAGUGAUGAUUCACCAACUCCACUCAUAGGGAGCAACUGCACACAUGUAUAGACGUAUAUGUCUGUGUGUGUGGAUGUAGGCAUGCGUGUAUAUAUAAGCAUGAGCAUGUUUCUAUGUUUAUAUGCAUGUACACAUAUGUGUGUACAUAUAAGCGUGCAUGUAUGCAUGUGUGUGUAUGUGUGUGUGUGUGUGUAUGUAUGCAUGUGUGUGUAUGUGCAUUAAAUGUUUUUAGUUAUAUUCUCCAAAUGCAUUUUUGGUUGACAUAACUGCCUACAUGUCCAAGGUUACCGACAUAAUUUAACAAACAACAAAUGUCAAAUGUCAGAGUUAUUAUUUUGAUUUUUUUUAAUUAAAGAUGUAAUUUCUAAAUGAGUGCAGGGGACUUCAGAAAUAUUAAUGUGCUAAAUUUCAAGUUCCUGAAACUUUAAAACUCAGAAAACAAGGGUGAGAUCUUAGAUAUAAGCUCUUGUUUUCGGGCGCCUUAAAUGUGAAUGAAUUGCAAGGCAUUCAGGAUCCACACGUCCCCAGCAAAGCCCUUGAGUCCUAAGACAGGAUCACGAGCAAAGGCAGUUUCCCUGCCAGCACCCUCAUUUCACAGAACGCGAGUGUAGCCCUUGUGUAGGUAAGUCUAUGAGCGAGUCUGGAGUGUCUUGGCUUCUUGUGGGCCUCUUUAUUGUAAACAGAGUAGACUUUUAAAUAAAUCAGAAAGAAAAUCCGAGGCAUGGAAAGGAAGGUUAGUCUGAAGUGCUCAUUUUAGGACCCCGAAUCUCACCAGCAUCCUUUUAUAUUGCAGCACACACUGCUGUUUCCAGGACCUCUGCAGGAUCUAUUUCAAUAAAUUAGGAUCUAAAGAGCCCUCCUGUUUCCUUAGAGUUAAGCUAAUGAUGCCAACAGUGCUGUUUUGUUUCCUGUAGUUGCCCUCUGUCCGCCUCAUAAGGCCCUUUCUAAAACCUUUACAUGCUGGGCCAAGCACAACCUGGUGGUCAUGGCUCAGACACCAUUUAAUUUCCUUCUCAAACCAUCUUGUUUUAUGUAAGUUGACCUUUCCAUGACUGUAAAAUCUCCUCAUUAGAAAAUGACAGGCUCUCUGGGAUUGGAAACCUUUCUCGAUAACACUCUGUAUAAAGGCGUCUGUGUAAGAUUUUUCUCAUUUAAAAAUGAAAAGAGACCCUUUCAUCCACUCCACCAGCAGCUUUCAGAGCACGCAGACAAUCCAUUUGAAUUUUGUUAAAAAAAAGAAAAACCAGAAAACCUGUUUUUUUGUGGGGCAGCCAGUGGAGGGGGGUCAGAGAUGGAUCUGAAGGAUCUGGUUUUAAGAACCUCAGAAUCAUUAUCCACUCUAUUUUCAGAGCACCCAUUCUCUGUUAAGUGUGUAACAUAUGCCAUUGCGAGAAUUUCCUACAGCUCUGCAGGGUUUCUAUUACAGUUGAGGAAACUUGGAUUCAGAAAGGUCCAGAAGCUCGCCCAAGGUCAUUGAGCAGGUGAGUGGCGGAGCUAGUGCUUAACCUGGGUCCUUGUGGCUCUGUUCUUUGUACUGCAUCAUUCUGCCUCUCAAGGCAAUAAUUUCUUAAAAAAAGACAUUUCAGAUAGCCAUGCUGCAGAUGCCUUAGCUUGCAUAGAAUACACUCUAUUAACAACAGUUAUUUGGACUGGAGAAUUACUAGGGUUUUUGACCUCAGCAAUUGGAGUACCUUUGCUACAGUACCAGCCCUGAGCCAGGCUGUUAGGAUUCAAACCCUUUCAUGGCCCCUGGCUGGCUGUGAGGUUCAGGAUUGUCACUUCUCUGGAGUGAGGUCUCUUGAGCUGAAACAUGAGUCCAUAUAACAUAAUACAUUCCUCAUAGCAUUGCUGUGAGGCGUAAAUGGGAGAAUGCUUGCAAAAUACUCUUGGGUAAUUAAUACAGCUGUUAUUAUUACCAAAUAAUAAUAGCUGUUAUUGUUACCAAAAUGACACAGAAAUGUUCCUGCCUCCCCUGCGCACCCGAAAAAAUUGGGAGAACAAAUCAACUUGUGACUUGCAAGAAACCUCAAAUAAUAGUGCCAGAUGAAGAAGGCUGAUAUAUAAGACUUGCCAGCAGUGGAGGGCAUUGCGACAAAAACUGAGCCCGACAGGAAGGCCGAGGCUGUCACAUCCCAUUAGUCCAGAGCUGUGACUUCAUGCUGACUCAGCCAAAGGCAGACAGUAAUCACAGCCAAGUUUAUAUGCUCAGAAUUGAUGUGGCCUUAUUUCCACAUUCUCAGAAGCAAAGUCAAGAGAAAACGGCGAUCAGAAAGUUUUUACGGGCCUCAUCAUGAAAUGCUGAGAGCUUCAGUGUAUUGAUUUGCCUUUAGUUAACCUCUGUAAUUCGAAGUGAUCACCCCCGCCAAAAAUGAAGGUAUAUCAAGAGAAUCCUUUUUACCUUUUGGUCAUUUUGAAACAAAGACCAUGUCAGUUCUUCUUUAUUCUAUAGAGAGUAAUUGAUUUGGGGUGAUGGUAAGUGUUCAGAUGAGAUUUCUGGAGGACAUUUAUCUGAGUCGUCCCAGACAAUCAAUAUUGUUUAUUUUAACGAGGUGAUUGCGUCGCCCAUUCAGAAAUGCUGAAGUACAUGCAUGAGCGCAGUCAAAGCACUGUUUUCAAUUAUCUUUUUGUAUUUCUAAUUGGUAGAAAUAAAUUAGAAGACAUGUAUUUGACUACUAUUCUGCACCAGCAAAUCCAUUUUUUUUAAAUGGUGCUAAUUGUGGUUGUCAUGGAAACCCUGAAGGUAGUUAGGCUGAUUGCUCAAUCUAUUUUUUUUUUCUUUGUAAGCCAUUAUUUCUUUGGCUGAUACUGAAGUUCCUCCUCUAGAAAGCAAUUACACAUAUGCUCACAAGACAUUUACUCUGAGUUAAGAUGCUCGAUAAAUCUGUUACACCAAUUAUAUUUGUACUGUGGUUAUGAGAAUCAAUAUGGUGGAGAUGUAAACUGAUCACAUAGAAAAGUGAAUAAACCAGUUAGUUGCUUGUUUUUUUUUUCCUGAAUGUAGUGAUGUAAUGCCUAGAUGAUUUUCAAAAACACUCUGCUUGCUUUAAACUUUUGGUAUUAUUUAAUGUCUGUGUGUAUGCUUUUCAAAUGUCAUUUUGCUGUACCUUUUCUGAAAAAUGUCAAAAUUAUAUUAAAGAGUCAUGUCUGCUUCUUGUUAAUCUUGUUGGCAGAUUUCACAGAGUAAAAACAUACAUGGAGGAUAUAGGCUGAGGGAAAAAGCCUCAGAGUAUAAAUGGUCGUAGAUAAAAUACUAGACGCAUCUUUUAUUAAUUGUGGGUACUCAACCUGGAUUGUAGUCUUCACGUAUAAACUGAGAGCCAUAACCUCAUCGGGUUGUUUAAAGAUGAAGUGUAACUAUACAUGUCAUGCUGCUCAUAUGGUGGUAGGCAUAUAAAAGAUGCCCUAGACAGUUUACUCUUGCUCCUGCCUAAGGCUCCGUAAUCAACUUUCCCUUCUGCACGUGUCCCCCACCGCCCACCCCCGCCACGACACACACACAGGGACUCACUCCGGGUUUCUGGAACUAUGUGUUUGUGUUGAAGGGAGAGAAAGUUUGGCUAGCAGAACCUCAGCAAAGUUUUAAUAACCUUACAGCAUCCCCAUGUUAUGGGAAACGAGCAAUGUCCUGGGACAAGCCUGACCUGGAAACAGAACCUUCCACAAGGAUUAAAAAAGUUCCAUCAUGGCCGGGCGCGGUGGCUCAAGCCUGUAAUCCCAGCACUUUGGGAGGCCGAGGCGGGUGGAUCACGAGGUCAAAAGAUCGAGACCAUCUUGGUCAACCUGGUGAAACCCCGUCUCUACUAAAAAUACAAAAAAAAUUAGCUGGGCACGGUAAUGCGUGCCUGUAAUCCCAGCUACUCAGGAGGCUGAGGCAGGAGAAUUGCCUGAACCCAGGAGGCGGAGGUUGCAGUGAGCCGAGAUCGCGCCAUUGCACUCCAGCCUGGGUAACAAGAGCAAAACUCUGUCUCAAAAAAAAAAAAAAAAAAAGUUCCAUCACAAUAACUUCCAACUAAAUACCGUCUCAAGAAGUUUAUUCUUCCAAACAAUAUCCUGUUGACUGGAUGAUUGAGUUGGGGCGGGGAGAGAACGCUUUACGAGCAAUAGUCAGUGGUUUGCUCUUGCAUGUGAGAGUUUUAGAAUCUGUACAACUAAACCAUUCCAACGUCCUUUCUCUGUCUCUCAGGCUGGAGUGCAGUGGCAGGACCAUGCUUCACUGCAGCCUUGAUCUCCCAGGCUCAACUGAUCCUCCUGCCUCAGCCUCCUAAGUAGCUGGGACCACAGGGGCAUACCACCACACCCAACUAAUUCUUAAAAGUUUUUUGUAGAGAUUGAGAUGGCUGUUGCUAUGUUGCCCAGGCUGAUGUCAAAUGCUUGGCCUCAAAGUGAUCCUCCCACCCUGGCCUCCCAAAGUGCUGGGAUUACAGGUGUGAGUGCCUGCACUCAGCCAACCAAACAUUUUUAAUGUAAAAAUAGAGCUACUGUCUCAGCUCAUUACAUUGGUCCAGAAUCUUUUUUCUUGGGAUCAUGAGAUGCAGUCACCAUAUUGGUAGCAUGUCCUUAUCUUACUAAAUCUUCCCUACUACAUAGUUGGUUCAUAUUAUGAGUCUUAUUUAUUUUAAUUAAACUGAAUAUCAAGAGCAACUGUAUGUUUGCAAUGUACCUUGUAUAUGCCUCAGUUAUAGCACUUACCACAGGGCAUUAUAAUUGUUUGCAUAUAUUUAUCCCCCAUAGAGUAAACAAUUUAGAGAUGACUGCUUUCUGUGAAACCAAACAAAACUAAAAUUUGAAAUCUUCAGCAUCAAGUAAGUUAGGCUCUUCACUCUUUCAGUGAUUAUUUAAUGAGCGUCUACUAUUUUCCCUGUGCUGGACUAACUAUUGGGAAUUCAGGAGUGAAUUUGGCAGACAUGUUUCCUUCCUCAUUAGGCGAUGAAACUUGUGUCUACUAGAGCAGCGGCUAAGUGCUGCAGGCAGUGAAUUUCCAGCUCUAUAGCACUCAGUGGCUGCCUAACCAGCUCGGGACUGCCCAAGAGUCAAGCAAGGCUUCUGAAGGCAACAGCUUUGAAGCAGAGAACUGAAGAUAAACAACUUAAAGGGUUAGGGAGAGUGUUCCAAACGGAGAGAAAAAAACAAACGUAAAUGGACACAGUCAGAGGUCAGAGUGUUCUUGAGUUCCUGUGCCUACAAGUUCCUAGGGAAGGGUCUCAACCCCUGCAUGAAACAUACACUGGUGACAUGGAUUUGCCAUUUUUAGGUAGGAGAUUGCAUUUUUUACAUAAACUGCGGGAUCUGCAGCUUGGGAUCUGUGUUUCUUAGGCUGAGGUGACACCCCUGAUGGUCCCUAUGGUGCAGCCUUUCAAGAUGAUUUGACAGCAACACAGCAGCCUCCCCGUGCAUCCUGGAAUGGAGCCUUGGUAGAGAACAAAGACACCCUCUGGUUUUUUUUUGUGAGAUUUUGGUUUGCUUAUCUGUUCCUCCAGACUUCAGACAUAUUUUGGUUUCUCAAGGGGUUGCUCAUUCAAAUGCCAAGUAGGCAAGGAUUUGAUUUUCAAUAAGGUGCGAUAGGGACAUGUAAAAUUAAGGGAAUUACAGGAGAGAGGAUGGUGUUUGGAGUCUGGUCAGAGAAAUCUGGUUUUGUCUCCUGACUUCUGCUCUCAGGUCUAAGUGAACUUCGGCACGUUCUUCUUUCCCUCUGUUAGGCAGGGAUAGGAACACCUGCCCACAGGGCUGCAGGAAGAUGGAGUGAAAAUGACGCUCAUUACCUGUUUAACGUGGUGCCUGGCAUCAUCUGUAAGUGAUCAUUAAGAAAGAGAGUAAUCUUUAGAAGCCUCAGCUUUAUUUUUUUUUAACUGAUGUAUUUUUCUUUGUUUUUCAUUUUUUGUUUUUUUAAAGCAGAUUUAUUGGAACAUAAUUAACAAACCAUAAUAUUCAUCCAUUUUAAAUGUAGAACUCAGUGAAUUUUAGUGUAUUUAGAGUUGUGCAAUCAACACCACAAUCUAAUUUUAGGACAUUCCCAUUAUCCUAGAAACUGAGUAUUUGGAUUUCCUCUUUUGUGUUUAUGAAUUCUAAAUUACACUCAGGAAAUAUUCAAUUUAAGACCCGAGAUAAUCAUCAUAUUUACUUACUAUGUCAUAUCUCAUGAUAUUGUGAUAAUUAUCAUCAAGGAUGUUAAUUCUUUUUUUUUUUUUUUUGGAGAUGGAGUUUCGCUCUUGUUACCCAGGCUGGAGUGCAAUGGCGCGAUCUCGGCUCACCGCAACCUCCGCCUCCUGGGUUCAGGCAAUUCUCCUGCCUCAGCCUCCUGAGUAGCUGGGAUUACAGGCACGCGCCACCAUGCCCAGCUAAUUUUUUGUAUCUUUAGUAGAGACGGGGUUUCACCAUGUUGACCAGGAUGGUCUCGAUCUCUUAACCUUGUGAUCCACCCGCCUCGGCCUCCCAAAAGUAUGUUACAACUUUAGAUAAUUUACUUGUUGAUAUUAUUAAUAAAUGUUAAAUGGUCUUUAUUGUACAAACAACAUUUAAUGAUGACUGGUGAUUGUUAUGCAAAUACGUUUUAAAAGUCUUGUCAUCAAACCUUUGGGAAAAAAUAUGUUUUCUUGUGUUGUUAUGGAAAAGUAGCUAGUCAGAUAAUCUUGAAUAUGUUACUAGUGUGCUCAUCUACCCUGUGUUAGCCAGACAGACUCCAUUUUGCUAAGAGUCAGACAGAGUCCAUUUUAACCUCUGCCUCACCCCUCCCGUCAUUUCUCCUUUGAGUGCAUAUCUGGGUCGUGUUCCUGUGCUGGGUCUUGUUGUACUUAGAGCUAUAGCAACAUAUCACCGUUGUAACCCUAUCCGGCUUGACAAGCCCACUUACCAUUGUGAAUACCCCCUUAAUUGAUGGUAUGGAAAGUACCGAAUGCCCCCCCGCCACUUGGUAACCAGCAAUCAUGGGAACCACUUGUGUAUCAUCUUAGUUAAUCAACAAUCAUGGGAGCCACUUGCCUCCUAGUUAACAGCCUCCUCCCCUGACUCGCUUGUUCUGCUUCUGUAAAAUUCCACUUCAGCUAGGCUCCCCCUCUCCUUUCCUAAGCAAGGUGUAAAAAGAAAUCGAGCCCCUCCCUCGGGACCGAGAGAUUUUGAGUGCCAGCUCUCUCAGUAGCCGGCAAUAAAGGACUCUCAAUUGGAACUCAGAGUGUGGUGCUUUCCUUCUCACUUGCUCAGUUAUAACACUAAAAACUCACUGGAAAAGGGCAGACUUAGUAGAGAGGCCAUGGGAUUAAGCAUGAGGGCAUUAUGGAGCCAGAGUUCAAACCCAAUUCAACCAGUUAUAGGCUGUGGAAUAUGAAACCAAAUGCCUUAACUCUCUGGGCCACAGUCUCUUCAUCUGUAAAACAGAGGUGGUAGUAGCAGUACCUGUCUCAUAGGGUUGCAGGAAUUAACUUAUGAUAUAUGUAAAGCCAUUAGUAUUGGGCCUGGCAUAUAGUAAGUGUUCAAUAAAUGACUGCUGGAAUUUUAUUGCGUGUAGUCUUUCAGGGAAUUGGUAAAGGGGACCAUUUUUUUAAAGUUUAUAAACACAUUAAGAAAAGUAGAGGAAGAGAAUUCUUUUUUCAUCUUAAGUAGGGAAUCAAAAAAAAAACCCCAUCCGGCUGGAAAAUGACGACUUUUAAAGAACUAAAUAAAAAUAAAUCUUAAUGUAUAUUCUCUGUGACAUAGAGAUAGAGCUAUUGCACUGUAAUCUGAUUUUGUUCUUUCAGCUAUGAAGAGAGGAGAUGAGGGAGACCAUAGAGACAGCCGACUUUGAUAGGAGAAAGGCUCCUAGACAGACACCCCAAGGCCUUUCCUUUACUUAGGUUUACUGACACAGGGAGGGGGUCAUCUGCCUGCAGCGGGGCCGAAACAUGCCACGAAUAGCCACAAAAGGCUGGAGACUGUGACUGGCUGUUUGAAUGUCAUCCUUGCCCCUGGCUCUACCGUGACGUGUGCAUAGCUGGAGGUGAGAAUAUUAACACAAAAACCAGUGGAUCCAGAACAUGUGGAAUGGCCUGGUUUCCAGGGGUCUUCAGGUCACAUGGUCACUUGCAGAAUUGAAUGGAGAGGUGACAUUGACUAGGGCUGAUGCCCUGUGAUUUGGGGAGUUUGGACAUAGGGGCUUGA
Callithrix jacchus (white-tufted-ear marmoset) is the source of this 21327-nucleotide non-coding RNA. Lineage: Eukaryota; Metazoa; Chordata; Mammalia; Primates; Cebidae. The record is from RefSeq and is a predicted model, not a curated record.